GUGUCAAGGGAUGGGAAUCGAACCCACGACCUCCAACUUACCGGGCAGAUGCCAUGACCACUAGGCCACAAGUACA
RNAcentral lists this transfer RNA (76 nucleotides) under Cordylochernes scorpioides. RNAcentral's name for it is "tRNA-Thr". Lineage: Eukaryota; Metazoa; Arthropoda; Arachnida; Pseudoscorpiones; Chernetidae. The record is from RNAcentral.